RNAcentral lists this ribosomal RNA (501 nucleotides) under uncultured bacterium. Its description in RNAcentral is "partial 16S ribosomal RNA". It matches the Rfam family "Bacterial small subunit ribosomal RNA", at positions 28 to 523 of the family's 1533-position model. The record is from RNAcentral.
GACGAACGCUGGCGGCGUGCUUAACACAUGCAAGUCGAACGGCAGCACGGGUGCUUGCACCUGGUGGCGAGUGGCGAACGGGUGAGUAAUACAUCGGAACGUACCUUAUCGUGGGGGAUAACGCAGCGAAAGUUGCGCUAAUACCGCAUACGCCCUGAGGGGGAAAGCGGGGGACCGUAAGGCCUCGCGCGAUUAGAGCGGCCGAUGUCUGAUUAGCUUGUUGGUGAGGUAAAAGCUCACCAAGGCGAUGAUCAGUAGCUGGUCUGAGAGGACGAUCAGCCACACUGGGACUGAGACACGGCCCAGACUCCUACGGGAGGCAGCAGUGGGGAAUUUUGGACAAUGGGGGCAACCCUGAUCCAGCAAUGCCGCGUGAGUGAAGAAGGCCUUCGGGUUGUAAAGCUCUUUUGUCAGGGAAGAAACAGCAGCUCUAACACAGUCUGCGAAUGACGGUACCUGAAGAAUAAGCACCGGCUAACUACGUGCCAGCAGCCGCCGUAA